This is a long non-coding RNA of Onychomys torridus (southern grasshopper mouse), 717 nucleotides long. RefSeq lists it as uncharacterized. The transcript is spliced from 3 exons. Lineage: Eukaryota; Metazoa; Chordata; Mammalia; Rodentia; Cricetidae. The record is from RefSeq and is a predicted model, not a curated record.
CUUUGGCUAGAGGUCUCCUCCCUGGCGGUGCAAGUCACCUUCAGCUAGUGUAGGGCGCGGGACAGCUGCGGCUUCAGGGCGAUCACCCAGCAUUCCAGGACCUCCAGCUUUUCCGGUGCCUGCAGACGAGCCCAGAGCCUUCUAGAGCAGCUGGGAGCCUGCUUCCCUGCUUAGCUUUGGCCUUGGAUUUCGAUGGCAGUUAUAAUCCUCGGGGAGCAAACUUAUUGGCCUCUAGGCAGGCGACUCCUUUAACUCGACCUAGGCCAAACUAGAGGCAGCGUGGAUGGGGUUGUGGCGUGGAAGAUGAAGGGAAGAGAUUUCUGUCAAACCAACCCGUUGAGUGGUUUGGGAAUUCGUGAAUAAAUGGUUGUGUUUCAUUGCCUGAAGACAGUGUAUGAGUUAUACAAGUUGAUGGAAGGUAAAAAUGUCUGCAUCUGGGGCCUGAAUGAAGCAAUGUGACCUUAAGUUUUGGUUUUGGACUUGGAAAAGUUGUGGAUCUCUGUAAUAUCCUCCAUGUGCUGCACAAAGAAGCUUUCUCUGAGAAGUGAGAGCUACACUCAUCUAUGAGUAUAAGGAAGCUCGGAGUCUCUUGCUACUUCCAGUACUGCAUGGCUCCCAGAACUCAAGGAAAUGAAAGACACAUCUUUAUCCCUGAUCUGUGUGCUCUCAUGAGGGAUUUCUGGAGUUGAAAAACUGAAGAUGUAUCUUCUUUUCUUU